GAUGAACGCUGGCGGUAUGCUUAACACAUGCAAGUCGAACGGACUCUUCGGAGUUAGUGGCGGACGGGUGAGUAACGCGUGAGAAUCUGGCUUUGGGUUCGGGACAACCACUGGAAACGGUGGCUAAUACCGGAUGUGCCGAGAGGUAAAAGAGAAAUUGCCUGAAGAUGAGCUCGCGUCUGAUUAGCUAGUUGGUGAGGUAAAGGCUCACCAAGGCAGCGAUCAGUAGCUGGUCUGAGAGGAUGACCAGCCACACUGGGACUGAGACACGGCCCAGACUCCUACGGGAGGCAGCAGUGGGGAAUUUUCCGAAAGGGGCGAAAGCCUGACGGAGCAAUACCGCGUGAGGGAAGAAGGCUCUUGGGUUGUAAACCUCUUUUCUUAGGGAAGAACAAAAUGACGGUACCUAAGGAAUCAGCAUCGGCUAACUCCGUG
RNAcentral lists this ribosomal RNA (435 nucleotides) under uncultured bacterium. RNAcentral's name for it is "partial 16S ribosomal RNA". It matches the Rfam family "Bacterial small subunit ribosomal RNA", at positions 28 to 507 of the family's 1533-position model. The record is from RNAcentral.